Molecule: long non-coding RNA, 3888 nt
Organism: Passer domesticus (house sparrow)
Lineage: Eukaryota; Metazoa; Chordata; Aves; Passeriformes; Passeridae
Exons: 3
Source: RefSeq, a predicted model, not a curated record
AGCAGCCUGACUGCUCAAGUGUGUGAUGUCCCAAGCCUCCCUUGUCAUUUGUCUUCUCCUGGAACAUCCCAGGAGCCCUGUGAGAUCACAGACUGGUUUGGAACAGGAGGCACCUCAAAGUUCAUCUCAUUCCACCCCAGACCAGGCUGCUCAGAGCUCCAUCCAGCCUGACCUUAAGGAGCAUCCCCCUGUUGUCACUGAGAGAGCCCAGUCUUGGGGAAGCCAAAGCCAGCUUUUCCCAGCAGGACCUGGAAGCUGGGGCACAGCUCCCACCUGUGACCUGGGAGCAGAGGCAGCAGGAAUUUUGCAGGGACAGCACAGCCCGAGCUGAUUGGAGCAGUUUGGGUCUCCCCCAGCACAAUGUUUGAUCCUGGAGUCGUCGAGGCUCAGAUAUUUAUGACAGACUCAAACCCAACCCAGAGCACACACCUUUCUUCAAAACCACCCUGCUGGGAGACACCUCUCCUUUUAAGCACAGCAGAUUUGGAACAUUUAUACACCAUUUCUCAAGAACAUGAGGAAGAAAAGGAACUGAGAGCUUUCUGGGAAGCUGUGCUGCUAAAGAUAAAAGGCAUUCUGAGGAUUCCCACUGAGCUCUCCUGCAUGCCUGACACCAGGUGCCAUCUCCACGCUGGGAGCUCUCCCAUCCUCAGCAAAAUUCCCUUUUCCUGCUGGCAACAGGCUCAGUGUGCCCUGGGCUCUGAGAAUGGGAUUCAUCUGGGUAUGUCACACUGGAUGUCCCAUGCCUGAGCUGUGGGAAUGGGGAAUGAAAUGGUGCAGCUCUGAGAGGAAUAAAGGAGGGGUUUGGGACAUUAUAGAAGAACAUCUUCCUCAGGGAAUUGGAACCAGCAGAGGUUGUUCCAUCCAAAGAUCCACUUGUUUCUUGACUCCUCCAUCACUUCUUGUCCUCAUCCCACCCAAAUUUAACAGCCAGAAGGAGACUUUGCUCCAUGGCUCCCAUCUUUAUUAAUCCAGCAACCUUGGGAAGCAGGGUUUGUGUCCUCCUCCAUCCUUCAGCGUGGCUUCCCUGCUUCUCUGGUGUUUCCUGCUCCAGGCUGUCAGCACCCUUAGGAAAGCUGUAACACAUCCACAGCUCUGUGCUGGUAGCACAAAUGGUCCUGGAUUCAGAAACUCCAAAAUUACUGCAAUCCCUGCAUCCUGGACUCAUCAGUUGAAAGCACUCAGGAAAUCAGUGGGAAAGGACUGUUCAUACUCCCUGAAAGCAGUGGGGAAUGGAUAAAACAUUCUUGUGCCAAGAGAAAUGGGGGAGCCAAAGGCUCCUGUGCUCAUCACAUCUACCAGACACCGAGGAAGGAACUUCCCAGGACUGCUGCAGCCCUGCCAAGGAGCGGUGAUUGAAAUCCCCAGCAAGCAGAGGGGUUGGAAAUCCAGAUGCUGCUGGAACCACAGCUGAUCCCUGAACUGCAGUGAAGGUUUCCCAACACCUUCUGAUGUUUUGGGAUCAAUCUUCUGACACAAGGGGGCUGCCAAGAUGCAAAGUGCAACAGCAGCAGGUGACAGCAGGAUAUGGAGAAAGGAAAUGCAAAUAUUUGGGAGAGCAGCCCAGAAGAGAGAGGAAAAGGCUGUUUGAGGCUUGGAACCUGCAGGCUGCCAGGGACAGCAGCUCAUGGAAAUGCACAUUAACAGGGGACUUGCAGCAGCCACCUGGGAGUGGGGGUGGCAGGACCUGAGACCUUGGAUAAACUCAGUUUGGAUGUGGAUGGGAAUGUCCUGGUGCCUGGUUGGAAGGAAAAAGGAGAAGUGCACAUCCAUAUCCCAGCCCUGCUCAGGGGAAGAGAUGAGAGACAGAAGGCAAUGAAGAGAGAAUCUCCCAAAAUUAGGUGCUAAUUCCUGGAACAGGUGGUUGACACAAUCCCAGGACACAGAAACCCCCCCAGGAUGAUUCACAGAAUUCACAGAAUCACUGGGUUAGAAGAGACCUUAAAAAUCAUUGAGUCCAACCCAGCCCCAACACCUCAACUAAACCCUGGCAUCCAGUGCCACAUCCAGGCUUUGUUACACACAUCCAGGGAUGGUGACUCCACCACCUCCCUGGGCAGCCAUUCCAGAACUUUCACCCUUUCUGGAAAAAACUUUUUCUUAAUAUCCAACCUAAAUUCCCCUUGAAAUACAGGUUCUGCUCCUCAGAGCCACUGGAAGGCAGGAAUUGGCUCCCAAGGGAAGGUGCUGCUGGCACGGGUGCCCAAGUGGCUGUUCCAUGUGAGGGAGGGGAGCAGGCUGAGGGCCUAAUUGGCACGGAGGGAAGGAGGGGGAAUGCUGGAGUUCUGGGUUCCUCCUCCACUGUUCUGAAAUCGGGAAAUGCCAAAUGCUGAUAUUCUCCAUAAAUAUCUAUUUAAAACCAUUGCUUCCCCCAGCAUUCCCACCCCCGCCCAUGGAUGAGCACAAAUCCUGGCUCAGCACAAAACCCAGCCUAGCUCAGGAACUGACCUUCAGCUUGGCUGCUUUUAUCUCCUCUGUGCUCUGGUGCUCUUCCUCCCCAUGGAAGUGAGCAAGCACCCCAGAGAAAUGUUCUGAGGAGCCAUGUGCAGGAAAGGGCAGCCAACCUCCCACUCCCAAAAUCCUGACACUCAGUGUGCAUUCAGAACCAAAGAAUUGGUGUUGGAAAGGUCUCUACACACACUCGCCAAACCCAGAAAAUGCAGCUCCUAAAUGCCAGCAAUUACUAUCAGUGUUCCUUUGGUUAAUGUUAAAAUUGGGAUAUUGGAUGAAGGAGGGGUUUGAGCAUCUUCAAGUUGAAUUUACAACUCAGAGAACCACUUGUAGGAUCUCUCUGCUGACUAAAAUCCCUCUCCCUCCACACCUAAGGAAUAAGUGCCUCCAGCCAUGCCAAAAAUUGGAAAAGGUUUAAUGAAAACUUGGAAUUUCUUUGCUAAGGAGCUACAGGAAGCCACCAGGAAUGGGGGAAACUCUGGGACUCCUCUUUCCAGCUGAAUGGGAAACAGAAGGAAGGUCUCCAAAAGGAGUCCAUACACACAGAAGUGUGAUCCCAGGAGGGAGGGGGCUGUAUGCCACCAAGGGACACCAAGAAGUCUCCAGUGGGAAGAGGGAUCAAAGUGGAAAACCAGCAGAGAAAUGGAAAUAGUCCCCUGGGAAAGCAGGAGUGAGGGAAAGGUAUCAGGGUCAGAGUGUCCCAGCUGGAAUCCUCACUCCAUUCCUGCAGCAUUCAUCCUCUUCUUUAGCAGGAGGGAGAUGAUAAUGAAACCAAGAGACUCCAAAGCUGUCUCCAAAGGCAAUCUGUGCCAAGGAAAAACUGCAGGAAGCAGAGAGGGAGCGAGUGUGGCAUUUCCCAGAGGAGCUCUGCAGAGAGCAGCAGCCAAGGAAAGGCUUUCUGCGCCUGGCAGGAGAGGAUGAGGAGUCUGUUAGCACAAUGCCUCUCAAAAGGAAUUCUGGCCUCUCCCAGAAACACAGUUUGGGAGCCAAGGCUGGGUUUUGGAUUUUGAUUUCACUUUGGUGAGGGGUGGAUCACCUCUUUAAAACCCCUGAGCUCUGAAAUAUUUGGAUUAAUGUCUCUUACAAAGGGAAACAACCAGAAAUUGGCUGGGUUUUCACUCACCAAUUCCCCCUCAAAUCCUGGGCUUUGCAGAAGAGCUUCACCCUCCAGGGUGGCCAGUGAGCUGCCCCAGGGAUCCAGUGGGAGAUGUAUCCCAAAGAGAUGCAAAAGAGAUGAUUUCUCCAACUGGUCCAUCUGAGCUGGCAUCUGUUGUACCUGCCAGGAUUUCCAGCUGGAAACAUCACGCUCUCAAGGUAAUUUGGGACAUCUGGUUAUUUGUCACCACCAUCAGAGGUGUUCCCAUCCUCAGAAUCCUUUCCUCAAAAUGUUUUUGUAAAGGCUUCAUUUGCCUUGGUUCAAUAAAGCCACACAUUUAA